CACCGUCUUUGCUCUUUACUCUUCAACCUACUAAAUACUCCACCGCCUCAUCCAGCAUUUCUACCUAUUUCUGCUUCUCCACCUUGCAUUUUUUAGAGGUUUUCGCAUUGUAGUAUCUAUUUCUGCUUCUCCACCUUACAGUUUUUUAGAGAUUUCCUCGUUGUAGGUUUUUAGAGCAAUUACUCACCCUCACUGGAGUAUAUAUAGUUUAUAUAAGUGGGAGUAUAUGUAUAAACUCAUAUUGAAGCCUGUGGAGUGUACUCUUAACCCAGACAAGGUUUUAUGGAGGGAGGGGGUGCAGAUUCUCUUUAUAUUUAGAAAAAGAAAACAAAACAUCAUAGCAUCUUCUGAUAUUAAUGAAGUUAUAUACUAAUUUAUGAGUA
This is a long non-coding RNA of Capsicum annuum, 383 nucleotides long. RefSeq lists it as uncharacterized. The transcript has 2 exons. Lineage: Eukaryota; Viridiplantae; Streptophyta; Magnoliopsida; Solanales; Solanaceae. The record is from RefSeq and is a predicted model, not a curated record.